Molecule: transfer RNA, 73 nt
Filed under: Candidatus Nealsoniibacteriota bacterium
Lineage: Bacteria; Candidatus Nealsoniibacteriota
Description: Candidatus Nealsonbacteria bacterium tRNA-Arg
Rfam family: tRNA
About the family: Transfer RNA (tRNA) molecules are approximately 80 nucleotides in length.
Source: RNAcentral
GUCCCCGUAGUUUAAUGGAUAGAACAUCAGAUUGCGGAUUUGAAGGUUGUAGGUUCGAGUCCUACCGGGGACA